ACCUGAGUGGCUUAGUCGGUUGAGCAUCUGACUUCAGCUCAGGUCAUAAUCUCAUGGUUCGUGGGUUCGAGCCCCGCAUCAGGGU
Felis catus (domestic cat) is the source of this 85-nucleotide transfer RNA. It matches the Rfam family "tRNA". Rfam says of the family: Transfer RNA (tRNA) molecules are approximately 80 nucleotides in length. Their secondary structure includes four short double-helical elements and three loops (D, anti-codon, and T loops). NCBI's taxonomy places the organism in Eukaryota, Metazoa, Chordata, Mammalia, Carnivora, Felidae. The record is from Rfam.